This 490-nucleotide ribosomal RNA is filed under the name uncultured bacterium. Its description in RNAcentral is "partial 16S ribosomal RNA". It matches the Rfam family "Bacterial small subunit ribosomal RNA", at positions 28 to 507 of the family's 1533-position model. The record is from RNAcentral.
GAUGAACGCUAGCUACAGGCUUAACACAUGCAAGUCGAGGGGCAGCAUGGUCUUAGCUUGCUAAGGCCGAUGGCGACCGGCGCACGGGUGAGUAACACGUAUCCAACCUGCCGUCUACUCUUGGACAGCCUUCUGAAAGGAAGAUUAAUACAAGAUGGCAUCAUGAGUUCACAUGUUCACAUGAUUAAAGGUAUUCCGGUAGACGAUGGGGAUGCGUUCCAUUAGAUAGUAGGCGGGGUAACGGCCCACCUAGUCUUCGAUGGAUAGGGGUUCUGAGAGGAAGGUCCCCCACAUUGGAACUGAGACACGGUCCAAACUCCUACGGGAGGCAGCAGUGAGGAAUAUUGGUCAAUGGGCGAGAGCCUGAACCAGCCAAGUAGCGUGAAGGAUGACUGCCCUAUGGGUGGUAAACUUCUUUUAUAAAGGAAUAAAGUCGGGUAUGUAUACCCGUUUGCAUGUACUUUAUGAAUAAGGAUCGGCUAACUCCGUG